Molecule: long non-coding RNA, 2482 nt
Filed under: Homo sapiens (human)
Lineage: Eukaryota; Metazoa; Chordata; Mammalia; Primates; Hominidae
Description: HSALNT0301137
Source: RNAcentral
AGUGCACGCGCGAGCCGCCCACCCGUGAGCCAUGAACAUCCAUCACCGUGACUCACAGCUGCUGCCCUGCUUCUCCUGCCGACGCCUCCCGGGAGCCCGGGGCAGGACCUAAAGGUAUUUCCUGGCCUGCUACUUCCUGGGUCUUCCUGAGCCCCUCCGAGCCAAGGCCGGCCCAGCAGGCGCCUGUGCUUCUGUAGUCUCUUCUGCCCUGCCUGCCCGCUCUGGGUUUGGUGUAAUAGAAAGAGAUGUGGAUGAGGAGCCGGGCACUUGGGCCUGGGUGGCUCUGCCACUCCCUAGCACAGCACUGAGCAAGUCAUCCCCCGCUCCAGCAUCGGCUUCCUUUUCCGAGAAAUGGGAACACUUGCAUCUCCGCUACCUACGACACUGAGGUGUCAUGGGGAGAAAAAACCCUAGAUGGGGAAGGCCUUCGGAAGAGGAAGGCAUGCUGGUAAAAAAAACUCAUUCACAUGACAGAGCAACGCUGGUGGUGUUUAGGCAAGCUCCCGAAAGACGCAUGGAAUCUUCUCUUUACGAGGUGAAGGGUCAGGCCAUAAGCCUUCCUGUGCCUUCAACUUCGCGAAGAUAAGCUGCUCUGUUGUCUAGCGGAUGACCUGUGAACAACGGCAAGCUGUCCAGCCUGUUGCAACAUGAACCAAAAUCAUGCCCAUCUGGAAUAUGUCUGGGCCCGCCCAUCAUUCCCAGGGAAGUUUGCCUGUUUUCUCAGCAUUUUCUUAAAAGAAGAUGAAAGGAUACCAAGGGUUCUCAAGCCCAGAGUGCUCCUGUUGCUGCAGAGUGGCUGGUAAUGAAGCCGUUCCCCAGGCCCCAGCAUGGUCCUCGUGGUCGGGCUCUGGGCUGCAUGAUCGGGGGAGGCUGACCUAAUUAGCCUGGCUGGGAGCUGCCUGGCAUUGGCAGUGAUAGACGGAACAUCCUCUUCAGAGACCCCCAACGCCCUUUGGUUGCUCCUGAACUGGGUCAGGUGUCCUCUGAACCCACCCUGUAGGGGAAGGGCUGGGAGGACACUUCUGAUGUAAACCCAGAGCACAUGCAAGUUCAAAUCCCCACCAUUCUCUGGCCUCUCUUCCACGUGACACUGGUAUGGGGGUGCCUUUUGAGCAUGUUCCUUCCAGUCACCAAAGUCAGUCUAGUAGGAGCUUCCAUCUGUUCUCUGGAACUUUCUGUAGGUGGCUCUCCAGGGGUACUUGGGAGGACUUCCCUCCUGGACAAGGAAGCCCUGGCAAGGGACCUGGGUGGGGGCUUUGAGAGGCUGUUGGGAUGCAGGGAUGGGGCAGCCAUGCCUGUGGCCACCCAGACAACCUAACCAGAGUCCACCUUAAGAGGCAGAGGGAUGAAGCCACAUGUGGACAAAAAGAUGGGCAGGAACAGAGGGGAGAAGCGGCACACCUGCAGCCAUGAUGCCCCUGCAGGAAGGGAAGGAGCGGUGCAGAGAGCUGGAGAGGCCUCUGAGCAAAGUGUCCAUCAGGGCCCCAGCCGGGGAGAGCCUCUGAGCACAUGCCUCGAGAGAACACCUCCACGGAGGUCGGGGAGGCAGCUGCUAGGGUCCAGGGGACAGCUUGCCAGGACAAGGCCUGUCUCCUCUGACACCCUGCAUCACAGGGCUCUCAGAUCUCCUCUCAGUGCCUGGGCCUCAGUUUCUCCACCUGCAAAGGCCCCUAGCAGCAGAAAGUGAGGGACCAUGGUGAACGACACUUAACCUCGAAGGGAGAGACACUGUCAAAUAUAGUGUAUAAAAAGCCAAACAUGAGAGAAGACAGAGCAUUCUGGUAGAGGGGAGGAGAGGAUUUAAGGGUUUUGUUCCCAGCGGGAAGGUGAGAGGCAAAAGGAUGCUCUGAAAUGACUGUCCCCCUCAUGGCAGCAGGUGGGCAGAUCAAAGCUGCUCAGUGCCUGCCCCGUGGAGGCUUCGGUUGGCUGCCUGGGAGGAGCUGGGUCACCAGGGCCAUCAGCUGAGCUUGGUGGUUUGAGGAGGAGAGGCCUGGGCACAUUCAACGGCCAGAAUGGCGGCCCACAGGCUGGGCACACAAGGCCCCUGAGCAGACUGAGGGGAGCUGCCACGGCUCCUGGCUUGUGCCCGGCACAUGCUGGCUCGAGGACAGCCAGCCCCAGAGGCCCAGAAUUACUGAGUCCAAUCCAAGCCCAGCCCCGGCACUAGAACCUUGCUCCAGCUUCUUUUUCUGGCCCAGUUAGUGCCUACCCCCUUCCAGUUCCAGCUGCAAACAGGAGCCAUGACUCCCUUUCAGGGAAGGCUGGGCCUCUUUCCCUGCCCCCUGUGCCCCCUCCCUCCAGCCUCCCUAACUGGAAACACUGGGACUUAACCAUGGAAACCCUAGGGAGGCCCCGGGGCUCCAGACAGCCGCCUUUGCUGCCCAGAGGUGAGGCCUUGCCUAAAGCUCCAGGCCUCUGACCCCAUGGGCAGUGGGGCACCCUGUAGACAUCCCUGCCUGUAGCUCUUCUUAGUGCCUAGAAG